AAAAGAAAAGUCUCUUCUGGGGUCAUAGUAGAGGAUAAUUAUUUGAUAAAAGCAGCAGUGGAACCUUGAACAAAUGUUAUUGAAAUAACUUGCAUGUUUGACAAUUUUGCGAUUUUCCAAACUUCAUAUAAAUCAUGUUUUAGCACUUUACUCUGUGCCAUUCUCUUUUACUGGAAUCGUCAUAUAUUUUCUCUUUUACUGAAAUU
Molecule: unclassified non-coding RNA, 206 nt
Filed under: Hevea brasiliensis (rubber tree)
Lineage: Eukaryota; Viridiplantae; Streptophyta; Magnoliopsida; Malpighiales; Euphorbiaceae
Source: RNAcentral